This 483-nucleotide ribosomal RNA is filed under the name uncultured Sulfurihydrogenibium sp. RNAcentral describes it as "bacterial SSU rRNA". It matches the Rfam family "Bacterial small subunit ribosomal RNA", at positions 29 to 530 of the family's 1533-position model. The record is from RNAcentral. Lineage: Bacteria; Pseudomonadati; Aquificota; Aquificia; Aquificales; Hydrogenothermaceae.
CGCGAACGUUGGCGGCGUGCCUAACACAUGCAAGUCGUGGGGCAGCAGGCUACUACCUUCGGGUAGUAGUGCUGGCGACCGGCAAACGGGUGAGUAACACGUAGCUUACCUACCCAUAGGUUGGGGAUAACAUCCCGAAAGGGGUGCUAAUACCCAAUAAUGAGGAGGCUCCAAAGCCCUUAUGGGUGCCUAUGGAUGGGGCUGCGUCCCAUCAGCUAGUUGGUGAGGUAAUGGCUCACCAAGGCUACGACGGGUAACCGGUCUGAGAGGAUGACCGGUCACAGUGGGACUGAGACACGGCCCGCACCCCUACGGGGGGCAGCAGUGGGGAAUAUUGGGCAAUGGCCGAAAGGCUGACCCAGCAACGCCGCGUGGUGGAUGAAGCCCUUCGGGGUGUAAACACCUUUUCUGGGGGAAGAUAAUGACGGUACCCCAGGAAUAAGGGACGGCUAACUACGUGCCAGCAGCCGCGGUAAUACGUAG